GGAUUGUGGCUCAGUGAUAGAACACCUGCCUAGCAUGUGUGAGGUCCUGGGUUCGAUCCUCAGCACCA
RNAcentral lists this transfer RNA (68 nucleotides) under Marmota monax (woodchuck). RNAcentral describes it as "tRNA.Ala". The record is from RNAcentral. Lineage: Eukaryota; Metazoa; Chordata; Mammalia; Rodentia; Sciuridae.